Molecule: long non-coding RNA, 623 nt
Organism: Hemicordylus capensis (graceful crag lizard)
Lineage: Eukaryota; Metazoa; Chordata; Lepidosauria; Squamata; Cordylidae
Exons: 3
Source: RefSeq, a predicted model, not a curated record
UCAGAUCAUGUGAAGGCAGCACAUUGGAAACAGCUGCUUGCUCCUCAGGAGAGUAUUUUAGGAAGCUGUGUUUGGAGGAUAAAUACAGCUCUUUCUAUGGGUGCAGGCUAUAGUUUCCAGACAGAUGUUAGAAAGCUUGCUGCUGAUCAAGACCCCCUGCAGAACAUCUCACAGAUUUAAGAGGCGGAGCUGAAGAAGCCACUUGGGAGAUGUUGAGUCAGUCAAAUACUUCAAGGACAGCCCCCUCCUCGAUCACAUGCAGUCCCACCCGCCAGCUGACAAGGAGAACCGCAUUGCCUUGCCUCUAACUUUUGGUUCCCGUGAAGUGCCGAGAGAUGGCGUUGCGCCCGGAGGCCAGCCGUUUGCCAGCUGCUGGUUCCUUUGCCCAGCGUAAGGCGGAGGAGCCACCUUGGGGCAGGGAUAACAUCACCGGCUCCUGCUCUCCAGGAACUGCUUCGCUGUUGCCUGUGACACCUGGAUGCCAGAUGCCGGAUGCCAUCUGACAUCGCUGCCCUGCCGGAGGGACGGAGUGUUCGUGAAUCGUCCCAAGUCUCGGAAGUUUCUCUUUGCCACUUCUUUUGGUUCCCGUGAAGUGCCGAGAUACACACGCAGUCAGGCAAGUA